GACGAACGCUGGCGGCGUGCCUAAUACAUGCAAGUCGAACGCAGUGGGGACGGGGGAGUAACACGUGGGUAACCUCCCAUCAGAGGGGAUAACACUUGGAAACAGGUGCUAAACCGAUACUGAUGGAUGGACCCGGGGUGCAUUAGCUAGUUGGUGGGGUAACGGCUCACCAGGGCCACGAGGCAUAGCCGACCUGAGAGGGUGAUCGGCCAAACUGGGACUGAGACACGGCCCAGACUCCUACGUGAGGCAGCAGUAGGGAAUCUUCGGCAAUGGACGAAAGUCUGAUCGAGCAACGCCGCGUGAGUGAAGAAGGUUUUCGGAUUGUAAAACUCUGUUGGUAGAGAAGCGGUAUCUGACCAGAAAGCCACGGCUAACUACGUGCCAGCAGCCGCGGUAAUUC
This 403-nucleotide ribosomal RNA is filed under the name uncultured bacterium. RNAcentral describes it as "partial 16S ribosomal RNA". It matches the Rfam family "Bacterial small subunit ribosomal RNA", at positions 28 to 526 of the family's 1533-position model. The record is from RNAcentral.